This is a long non-coding RNA of Microcebus murinus (gray mouse lemur), 439 nucleotides long. RefSeq lists it as uncharacterized. The record is from RefSeq and is a predicted model, not a curated record. Lineage: Eukaryota; Metazoa; Chordata; Mammalia; Primates; Cheirogaleidae.
CUUGGGACAGAGGACUGCUGUCUACUCUCUCCAGUCACCCUCCCAGUCCAAGGAUCUGUGACCCCAGCAUGAGGACCCUCGCCCUCCUUGCUGCCCUUCUCCUGGUGACCCUCCACGCCCAGGCUGGACCCCUGCAAGGGAGAGAUGAGGAGAUGCCACCCCAAGAGCGGCCCGUGGCAGAGGACCAGGAUGUGUCCAUUUCCAUCACAUGGAAUGAAAACUCCAUUCCUCAAGCUCCAGCAAGGAGCAUGCGCUGCUCUUGUAGAACUCUCUGCCGUGUCGGGGAACGUCUCACAGGGAUCUGUCAGUUCGGUGGUGGUUCCUUAUUGCGCUGCUGCCGCCGCCGCUGAUUGUGGAGAAUGGCGGAAAGGGGGCUCAAACUAUGCCUGGAGAGCUAAACGAUGCUGCUGUCACUCCUCUACCUUGUCCUCACUUUGCU